This 500-nucleotide ribosomal RNA is filed under the name Fusarium oxysporum f. sp. lycopersici. RNAcentral's name for it is "eukaryotic LSU rRNA". The stretch from base 130 to 283 matches the Rfam family "5.8S ribosomal RNA". The record is from RNAcentral. RNAcentral also lists the same sequence under 1 other name. Lineage: Eukaryota; Fungi; Ascomycota; Sordariomycetes; Hypocreales; Nectriaceae.
CCCUGUGACAUACCUAUAACGUUGCCUCGGCGGGAACAGACGGCCCCGUAACACGGGCCGCCCCCGCCAGAGGACCCCCUAACUCUGUUUCUAUAAUGUUUCUUCUGAGUAAACAAGCAAAUAAAUUAAAACUUUCAACAACGGAUCUCUUGGCUCUGGCAUCGAUGAAGAACGCAGCGAAAUGCGAUAAGUAAUGUGAAUUGCAGAAUUCAGUGAAUCAUCGAAUCUUUGAACGCACAUUGCGCCCGCCAGUAUUCUGGCGGGCAUGCCUGUUCGAGCGUCAUUACAACCCUCAGGCCCCCGGGCCUGGCGUUGGGGAUCGGCGGAAGCCCCCUGCGGGCACAACGCCGUCCCCCAAAUACAGUGGCGGUCCCGCCGCAGCUUCCAUUGCGUAGUAGCUAACACCUCGCAACUGGAGAGCGGCGCGGCCACGCCGUAAAACACCCAACUUCUGAAUGUUGACCUCGAAUCAGGUAGGAAUACCCGCUGAACUUAAGCAU